RNAcentral lists this ribosomal RNA (399 nucleotides) under uncultured bacterium. Its description in RNAcentral is "bacterial SSU rRNA". It matches the Rfam family "Bacterial small subunit ribosomal RNA", at positions 28 to 419 of the family's 1533-position model. The record is from RNAcentral.
AGCGAACGCUGGCGGCGUGCUUAACACAUGCAAGUCGAGUGCGCGUUUCGUAGCAAUACGGGAUGGCGCACGGCGCACGGGUGAGGAACACGUGGGCAACAUGCCCUCUGAUGGGGAAUAGCCCCGCGAAAGCGGGGCUAAUACCGCAUAAGAUUCCGGGGACCUCGGUCCCUGGACUGAAAGCCCGCAAGGGCGUCGGAGGAGUGGCCCGCGGCCGAUUAGCUUGNGGCGGGUAACGGCCCGACCAAGGCCAAUGAUCGGUAGCCGGUCUGGAGACGGAUGAUCGGCCACACUGGAACUGAGACACGGUCCAGACUCCUACGGGAGGCAGCAGUGGGGAAUCUUGCGCAAUGGGCGAAAGCCUGACGCAGCGACGCCGCGUGGGGGAUGAAGCCUUUC